RNAcentral lists this long non-coding RNA (202 nucleotides) under Lathyrus oleraceus (garden pea). Its description in RNAcentral is "Pisum sativum (pea) long non-coding RNA (PSAT_LNC025466)". Lineage: Eukaryota; Viridiplantae; Streptophyta; Magnoliopsida; Fabales; Fabaceae. The record is from RNAcentral.
AAAAUGGUUGAGUAUUGAAAGUUGUGUUUUAUGAUGAUGGAAAGAUGAAUUAGUGAAGUUUAGAUGGUUGGAGGUGACGUUGAAGCGAAGGAGAAGACUGAGUUGAAGUGGUGUAGUGAAUCAAGAAAGCAUAAAUAAUAAUGAGAGAGAGGGCAAAGUGAUAUUGGAAGAGUUUUGUUUUUCUUCUUUUUUAACAAAGAAU